GGAUGCACAGAGUGUAAGAGGAGGAGUAGAUUAGUAUUUUAUCUUACUUGGAAGAAAAAGAAGAAGGAAAUUGGUCCAGAAACUGAUCAAAUCACUUUUAUGCUGCCUGCAACAAAAGUAUUUUCUAACAUUUAGACUAGACUGUUUUAUGAUUUCAUUCUGUAAGGGAGGCCUACCUCAUCGAAAAUUUUGUUGAAAACUUCUUAUGUUACAUGGUCACAUAUAUAAACUUAAAAACUUACAUCGAACCAAAUGCUUUGGGUCCAAAAUGGAAGAUAGGAAGAAGGUGUGGAAAAUACAAAAAAUCAGAUUCAGUUUACCAUGUACUUUUAGGAAUUGGCAUUAGGUUACUGAAAUUUUGUCAUUACUCCCUCAACCAUUUAAACAUUAAAGGAAAGAAAUUGGAACCGGAGGCUCCACAAUGUUGUCAAAUUUGGUGCCCAAUUUGACAAAGCCGGUACAUCUACAUGUUGGUAAACAGAGGAAGGAUCAUGGAUGGUUUGGACUCAGAAUUCUGUAUUGAUACUCGUCCAAGCAUGAGUGAUGCUGAGGACGCAUAGAUUACUGUUAUCGUUUAUUGUACAUGUUAGAUAAUGUAGUGAAUUUGGAGAACCUUGGCUUCCAGUCAAUAGAUAAGUCCUGUGUAUGUACGUUGUCGCAGUUAUUCAACUAGAGUUUGAUAUAUAGAUGUAUGCUAAAAUAGUUUUACCAGCAAUUACCAAGGUCUUUUAUAUUUUAACUGGUGCUUGAGACUUCUUUGAAGUUGUUAAUUCACAUAUGCAUGAAGGUCAUUAAGUAAAAAUUUGAUUUUUGCCUGCAGCUUGGAUGUUUGGCAUGCUUUGAGCACUUAAAUCCA
RNAcentral lists this long non-coding RNA (856 nucleotides) under Coffea arabica (coffee). RNAcentral describes it as "long non-coding RNA (CARA_LNC003940)". The record is from RNAcentral. Lineage: Eukaryota; Viridiplantae; Streptophyta; Magnoliopsida; Gentianales; Rubiaceae.